GACGAACGCUGGCGGCGUGCUUAACACAUGCAAGUCGAACGGUGAAGCGCCUUCCUUUUUGGUGGGUGUGGAUGAGUGGUGAACGGGUGAGUAACACGUGAGUAACCUGCCCCCUUCUUCUGGAUAACCGCAUGAAAGUGUGGCUAAUACGGGAUAUUCUGGGUCUGUCGCAUGAUGGGUCUGGGAAAGAUAUUGUUUCGGUGGGGGAUGGGCUCGCGGCCUAUCAGCUUGUUGGUGGGGUGAUGGCCUACCAAGGCGGUGACGGGUAGCCGGCCUGAGAGGGUGGACGGUCACACUGGGACUGAGACACGGCCCAGACUCCUACGGGAGGCAGCAGUGGGGAAUAUUGCACAAUGGGCGCAAGCCUGAUGCAGCGACGCCGCGUGAGGGAUGGAGGCCUUCGGGUUGUGAACCUCUUUCGCCAGUGAAGCAGGCCUGCCUCGUUUGUGGGUGGGUUGACGGUAGCUGGAUAAGAAGCGCCGGCUAACUACGUA
RNAcentral lists this ribosomal RNA (494 nucleotides) under uncultured bacterium. RNAcentral's name for it is "partial 16S ribosomal RNA". It matches the Rfam family "Bacterial small subunit ribosomal RNA", at positions 28 to 507 of the family's 1533-position model. The record is from RNAcentral.